Molecule: ribosomal RNA, 1339 nt
Filed under: uncultured bacterium
Lineage: Bacteria
Description: bacterial SSU rRNA
Rfam family: Bacterial small subunit ribosomal RNA
Source: RNAcentral
GACGAACGCUGGCGGCGCGCCUAACACAUGCAAGUCGAACGGAGCUUAGAGAGCUUGCUUUUUAAGCUUAGUGGCGAACGGGUGAGUAACGCGUGAGUAACCUGCCCUAGAGUGGGGGACAACAGUUGGAAACGACUGCUAAUACCGCAUAAGCCCACGGUGCCGCAUGGCACUGAGGGAAAAGGAUUUAUUCGCUUUAGGAUGGACUCGCGUCCAAUUAGCUAGUUGGUGAGGUAACGGCCCACCAAGGCGACGAUUGGUAGCCGGACUGAGAGGUUGAACGGCCACAUUGGGACUGAGACACGGCCCAGACUCCUACGGGAGGCAGCAGUGGGGGAUAUUGCACAAUGGGGGAAACCCUGAUGCAGCGACGCCGCGUGGAGGAAGAAGGUUUUCGGAUUGUAAACUCCUGUCGUUAGGGACGAUAAUGACGGUACCUAACAAGAAAGCACCGGCUAACUACGUGCCAGCAGCCGCGGUAAAACGUAGGGUGCAAGCGUUGUCCGGAAUUACUGGGUGUAAAGGGAGCGCAGGCGGGAAGACAAGUUGGAAGUGAAAACCAUGGGCUCAACCCAUGAAUUGCUUUCAAAACUGUUUUUCUUGAGUAGUGCAGAGGUAGAUGGAAUUCCCGGUGUAGCGGUGGAAUGCGUAGAUAUCGGGAGGAACACCAGUGGCGAAGGCGGUCUACUGGGCACCAACUGACGCUGAGGCUCGAAAGCAUGGGUAGCAAACAGGAUUAGAUACCCUGGUAGUCCAUGCCGUAAACGAUGAUUACUAGGUGUUGGGGGAUUGACCCCCUCAGUGCCGCAGUAACACAAUAAGUAAUCCACCUGGGGAGUACGACCGCAAGGUUGAAACUCAAAGGAAUUGACGGGGGCCCGCACAAGCAGUGGAGUAUGUGGUUUAAUUCGAAGCAACGCGAAGAACCUUACCAGGUCUUGACAUCCGAUGCAUAGCACAGAGAUGUGUGAAAUCCUUCGGGACAUCGAGACAGGUGGUGCAUGGUUGUCGUCAGCUCGUGUCGUGAGAUGUUGGGUUAAGUCCCGCAACGAGCGCAACCCUUAUUGCCAGUUACUACGUUAAGAGGACUCUGGCGAGACUGCCGUUGACAAAACGGAGGAAGGUGGGGAUGACGUCAAAUCAUCAUGCCCUUUAUGACCUGGGCUACACACGUACUACAAUGGCGUUAAACAAAGAGAAGCAAGACCGCGAGGUGGAGCAAAACUCAAAAACAACGUCUCAGUUCAGAUUGCAGGCUGCAACUCGCCUGCAUGAAGUCGGAAUUGCUAGUAAUCGCGGAUCAGCAUGCCGCGGUGAAUACGUUCCCGGGCCUUGUACA